This 881-nucleotide ribosomal RNA is filed under the name uncultured bacterium. Its description in RNAcentral is "bacterial SSU rRNA". It matches the Rfam family "Bacterial small subunit ribosomal RNA", at positions 8 to 891 of the family's 1533-position model. The record is from RNAcentral.
AGAGUUUGAUCCUGGCUCAGGAUGAACGCUGGCGGCGUGCCUAACACAUGCAAGUCGAACGAAGCACCUUACCUGAUUCUUCGGAUGAAAGUUUGGUGACUGAGUGGCGGACGGGUGAGUAACGCGUGGGUAACCUGCCCUGUACUGGGGGAUAACAGCUGGAAACGGCUGCUAAUACCGCAUAAGCGCACGAGGAGACAUCUCCUUGUGUGAAAAACUCCGGUGGUACAGGAUGGGCCCGCGUCUGAUUAGCUGGUUGGCAGGGUAACGGCCUACCAAGGCAACGAUCAGUAGCCGGUCUGAGAGGAUGAACGGCCACAUUGGAACUGAGACACGGUCCAAACUCCUACGGGAGGCAGCAGUGGGGAAUAUUGCACAAUGGGGGAAACCCUGAUGCAGCAACGCCGCGUGAGUGAAGAAGUAUUUCGGUAUGUAAAGCUCUAUCAGCAGGAAAGAAAAUGACGGUACCUGACUAAGAAGCCCCGGCUAACUACGUGCCAGCAGCCGCGGUAAUACGUAGGGGGCAAGCGUUAUCCGGAUUUACUGGGUGUAAAGGGAGCGUAGACGGUUUUGCAAGUCUGAAGUGAAAGCCCGGGGCUUAACCCCGGGACUGCUUUGGAAACUGUAGAACUAGAGUGCAGGAGAGGUAAGUGGAAUUCCUAGUGUAGCGGUGAAAUGCGUAGAUAUUAGGAGGAACACCAGUGGCGAAGGCGGCUUACUGGACUGUAACUGACGUUGAGGCUCGAAAGCGUGGGGAGCAAACAGGAUUAGAUACCCUGGUAGUCCACGCCGUAAACGAUGAUUACUAGGUGUUGGUGGGUACGACCCAUCGGUGCCGCAGCAAACGCAAUAAGUAAUCCACCUGGGGAGUACGUUCGCAA